CGUUUGCCUCACUGCCGUCGGAAACAUGACUUCACUGCGGAUUAGCACCACAGUCAACUCACUUCGCUUCAGGUCUUAAAGAGAGCUAAGCGGUACCCAGAAAACUUCCUUACACACCUGUCCUCAGGCAGUAAAGGCCCUCCCUGGUGGUGCAGCGGGUUGAAGCACAACACUAAG
Long non-coding RNA from Condylura cristata (star-nosed mole), 177 nucleotides. RefSeq lists it as uncharacterized. Lineage: Eukaryota; Metazoa; Chordata; Mammalia; Eulipotyphla; Talpidae. The record is from RefSeq and is a predicted model, not a curated record. The transcript is spliced from 3 exons.